RNAcentral lists this ribosomal RNA (301 nucleotides) under uncultured bacterium. RNAcentral's name for it is "partial 16S ribosomal RNA". It matches the Rfam family "Bacterial small subunit ribosomal RNA", at positions 509 to 807 of the family's 1533-position model. The record is from RNAcentral.
CAGUAGCCGCGGUAACACCGAGGGUGCGAGCGUUAAUCGGAUUUACUGGGCGUAAAGCGUGCGUAGGCGGCUUUUUAAGUCGGAUGUGAAAUCCCUGAGCUUAACUUAGGAAUUGCAUUCGAUACUGGGAAGCUAGAGUAUGGGAGAGGAUGGUAGAAUUCCAGGUGUAGCGGUGAAAUGCGUAGAGAUCUGGAGGAAUACCGAUGGCGAAGGCAGCCAUCUGGCCUAAUACUGACGCUGAGGUACGAAAGCAUGGGGAGCAAACAGGAUUAGAUACCCCCGUAGUCCCUGUCUCUUAUAC